UUGGUCGGGCAAUUGCUGCUUUACGCAGAGGAAAGUCCAUGCUCGCACGGAGCUGAGAUGCCCGUAGUGUUCGUGCUUCGCGAAAAAAUAAGCGAAGGCAGUCUGAGUGAUCAGACUGACGGCAGAGAGGAUACCUAAGUCUCUUGAUAUGGUAUGCAUCUCUUGAAAGUGCCACAGUGACGAAGUUCUGUCAGAAAUGACAGAAGUGGAACGAGGUAAACCCCGCGAGUGAGAAACUCAAACAAUGGUAGAGGCACUUUCCCGGAGGAAAUGAACGAAGGGGAAGGUCGGCAUUUUGCCGGCAGAUAGAUGAUUGCCGCUUGUCGUACGAGCUUAACAGGCGCUUGCAGUACGCUUGAACAAAACAUGGCUUACAGAC
RNAcentral lists this RNase P RNA (379 nucleotides) under Jeotgalibacillus salarius. Its description in RNAcentral is "RNase P RNA component class B". It matches the Rfam family "Bacterial RNase P class B". From Rfam's summary of the family: Ribonuclease P (RNase P) is a ubiquitous endoribonuclease, found in archaea, bacteria and eukarya as well as chloroplasts and mitochondria. Its best characterised activity is the generation of mature 5'-ends of tRNAs by cleaving the 5'-leader elements of precursor-tRNAs. Cellular RNase Ps are ribonucleoproteins. Lineage: Bacteria; Bacillati; Bacillota; Bacilli; Caryophanales; Caryophanaceae. The record is from RNAcentral.